Molecule: long non-coding RNA, 825 nt
Organism: Stegostoma tigrinum
Lineage: Eukaryota; Metazoa; Chordata; Chondrichthyes; Orectolobiformes; Stegostomatidae
Exons: 3
Source: RefSeq, a predicted model, not a curated record
UCUGAAUGUGGAAUUUCGUUAAAUGAGGGUCCAAAAAACUAUAGAACUGUGGAUGCUGGAAAACAGAAAAACAAACAAAUUUCUGGAAGAACUUAACAGAUCUGGCAACAUCUGUGGAGAGAAAGCAGAGUUAACACUUCAGGUCAUGUGUCACUUCCCAUCAUUGUUCUCUACAAUUGCAACAGGUACGUCUGGGGACUAUCCAAAAGGGCCAAAACCACUCUGCAUGUUGGCCAGGAGGCAAUUCUACAAUUCUACAAGGGCUGCUCAGUGCCAUUUGCCUCAUGAGCAAAAGUAGAGGCAGAAAUCAGAAGGCCAGAGAGUGAAGGAAUUAUCAAACCAAUCCAGUCUGUGGAAUGGGCUGCACUGUUCAUACCGAUUGUGAAGCCGAAUGGGUCGGUUCACCUUUGUGGGGAUUUUACACAAAUGCCAUCAGCAUUUCUUGCUGGACAUAUGAUUCUACUCAUUCGGACUGGUGGACUUGCCAGAAAAUAAAUCUACUGCUGAGAAUGAACAGAUUCAGUUGCUAUUCUGAAUGAUCUUGAACUUGGGAGGCAAAUGAUCAAAAGAUGGAUUCAAUUUGAUUAAUUUGGUAGACAGAUGAAUUCUCCAUAUAAGACACAAACAGAACCUCCAAUCACAUUGGCAAGAAUUUCUUGAAGAAACAACUUGUUUGAUUUUUAGUUAAAUAGCAAAAUGGUGACAAUUUCUGGCAGCACGCUGUAGCUAAAUGAAAAUUAACACUGUUUUGUUAAGGAUUAGUCUCUUCCUUAAAUAAUUUGUCUUGUGUUCAUGUCAGAAAUGCAAUUUCUAUAAGUAAACUGA